Molecule: ribosomal RNA, 691 nt
Filed under: uncultured Actinomycetes bacterium
Lineage: Bacteria; Bacillati; Actinomycetota; Actinomycetes
Description: bacterial SSU rRNA
Rfam family: Bacterial small subunit ribosomal RNA
Source: RNAcentral
GAUGAACGCUGGCGGCGUGCUUAACACAUGCAAGUCGAACGAUGAUGGGAGCUUGCUCCUGGAUUAGUGGCGAACGGGUGAGUAACACGUGAGUAACCUGCCCUUAACUCUGGGAUAAGCCUGGGAAACUGGGUCUAAUACCGGAUAUGACUCCUCAUCGCAUGGUGGGGGGUGGAAAGCUUUAUUGUGGUUUUGGAUGGACUCGCGGCCUAUCAGCUUGUUGGUGAGGUAAUGGCUUACCAAGGCGACGACGGGUAGCCGGCCUGAGAGGGUGACCGGCCACACUGGGACUGAGACACGGCCCAGACUCCUACGGGAGGCAGCAGUGGGGAAUAUUGCACAAUGGGCGCAAGCCUGAUGCAGCGACGCCGCGUGAGGGAUGACGGCCUUCGGGUUGUAAACCUCUUUCAGUAGGGAAGAAGCGAAAGUGACGGUACCUGCAGAAGAAGCGCCGGCUAACUACGUGCCAGCAGCCGCGGUAAUACGUAGGGCGCAAGCGUUAUCCGGAAUUAUUGGGCGUAAAGAGCUCGUAGGCGGUUUGUCGCGUCUGCCGUGAAAGUCCGGGGCUCAACUCCGGAUCUGCGGUGGGUACGGGCAGACUAGAGUGAUGUAGGGGAGACUGGAAUUCCUGGUGUAGCGGUGAAAUGCGCAGAUAUCAGGAGGAACACCGAUGGCGAAGGCAGGUCUCUGG